Molecule: ribosomal RNA, 506 nt
Filed under: uncultured bacterium
Lineage: Bacteria
Description: partial 16S ribosomal RNA
Rfam family: Bacterial small subunit ribosomal RNA
Source: RNAcentral
AGUGAACGCUGGCGGUAGGCCUAACACAUGCAAGUCGAACGGCAGCACAGGAGAGCUUGCUCUCUGGGUGGCGAGUGGCGGACGGGUGAGGAAUACAUCGGAAUCUACUCUGUCGUGGGGGAUAACGUAGGGAAACUUACGCUAAUACCGCAUACGACCUACGGGUGAAAGCAGGGGACCUUCGGGCCUUGCGCGAUGGAAUGAGCCGAUGUCGGAUUAGCUAGUUGGCGGGGUAAAGGCCCACCAAGGCGACGAUCCGUAGCUGGUCUUAGAGGAUGAUCAGCCACACUGGAACUGAGACACGGUCCAGACUCCUACGGGAGGCAGAAGUGGGGAAUAUUGGACAAUGGGCGCAAGCCUGAUCCAGCCAUACCGCGUGGGUGAAGAAGGCCUUCGGGUUGUAAAGCCCUUUUGUUGGGAAAGAAAUCCAGCUGGCUAAUACCCGGUUGGGAUGACGGUACCCAAAGAAUAAGCACCGGCUAACUUCGUGCCAGCCGCCGCCGUAA